UAGGUUGUUUCCAUCGUUUUUUUUAUUGCGUGCACACACGUUUACUUAUUAUUUUUGCUCUUAGUUUGUCGAAACUAAUGAGUUUGGAUGUGUGUGUUCAGGUAUGGACUUUGAUCUUGAUGGGGUAUUGAAGACUCUGCCAGGAGGCGAUGAGGGGCAUGCCUUUGUUGAUGGUUAGCUCUUGUGCUCACCUCUUCCUUCCUCCCCCCUUCCCCUUUUUUUUUACUCUACCUUGUGACCUUAAUGGAUUCUAACUUAUAUGUGCAGGGGCAGAGCUUGAUCUUGAAGGGGUUAUGGAUUUCUUGCCUGUCCAGGGGCAAGAGGGUGAGG
This 330-nucleotide long non-coding RNA is filed under the name Olea europaea (common olive). RNAcentral describes it as "long non-coding RNA (OEUR_LNC004717)". The record is from RNAcentral. Lineage: Eukaryota; Viridiplantae; Streptophyta; Magnoliopsida; Lamiales; Oleaceae.